GCAUCUAUACGGUGAAACUGCGAAUGGCUCAUUAAAUCAGUUAUCGUUUAUUUGAUAGUACCUUACUACUUGGAUAACCGUGGUAAUUCUAGAGCUAAUACAUGCUAAAAACCCCAACUUCGGAAGGGGUGUAUUUAUUAGAUAAAAAACCAACGCCCUUCGGGGCUCCUUGGUGAUUCAUAAUAACUAAACGAAUCGCAUGGCCUUGCGCCGGCGAUGGUUCAUUCAAAUUUCUGCCCUAUCAACUUUCGAUGGUAGGAUAGUGGCCUACCAUGGUAUCAACGGGUAACGGGGAAUUAGGGUUCUAUUCCGGAGAGGGAGCCUGAGAAACGGCUACCACAUCCAAGGAAGGCAGCAGGCGCGCAAAUUACCCAAUCCCGACACGGGGAGGUAGUGACAAUAAAUACUGAUACAGGGCUCUUACGGGUCUUGUAAUUGGAAUGAGUACAAUUUAAAUCCCUUAACGAGGAACAAUUGGAGGGCAAGUCUGGUGCCAGCAGCCGCGGUAAUUCCAGCUCCAAUAGCGUAUAUUAAAGUUGUUGCAGUUAAAAAGCUCGUAGUUGAACCUUGGGCCUGGCUGGCCGGUCCGCCUCACCGCGUGCACUGGUCCGGCCGGGCCUUUCCUUCUGGGGAUCCGCAUGCCCUUUACUGGGUGUGCUGGGGAACCAGGACUUUUACUUUGAAAAAAUUAGAGUGUUCAAAGCAGGCCUUUGCUCGAAUACAUUAGCAUGGAAUAAUAGAAUAGGACGUGCGGUUCUAUUUUGUUGGUUUCUAGGACCGCCGUAAUGAUUAAUAGGGAUAGUCGGGGGCAUCAGUAUUCAAUUGUCAGAGGUGAAAUUCUUGGAUUUAUUGAAGACUAACUACUGCGAAAGCAUUUGCCAAGGAUGUUUUCAUUAAUCAGUGAACGAAAGUUAGGGGAUCGAAGACGAUCAGAUACCGUCGUAGUCUUAACCAUAAACUAUGCCGACUAGGGAUCGGGCGAUGUUACUAUUCUGACUCGCUCGGCACCUUACGAGAAAUCAAAGUC
Molecule: ribosomal RNA, 1027 nt
Filed under: Minutisphaera japonica
Lineage: Eukaryota; Fungi; Ascomycota; Dothideomycetes; Minutisphaerales; Minutisphaeraceae
Description: SSU rRNA
Rfam family: Eukaryotic small subunit ribosomal RNA
Source: RNAcentral